UGGAUCGUAGCUCAGUUGGUAGAGCGCCUCACUGUUAAUGAGGUGGUCGCAGGAUCGAAGCCUGCCGAUCCAGCCA
Molecule: transfer RNA, 76 nt
Filed under: Rhizobium sp. AN5
Lineage: Bacteria; Pseudomonadati; Pseudomonadota; Alphaproteobacteria; Hyphomicrobiales; Rhizobiaceae
Description: tRNA_Asn_GTT
Rfam family: tRNA
About the family: Transfer RNA (tRNA) molecules are approximately 80 nucleotides in length. Their secondary structure includes four short double-helical elements and three loops (D, anti-codon, and T loops).
Source: RNAcentral